ACGAACGCUGGCGGCGUGCUUAACACAUGCAAGUCGAACGGUAAGGCCCCUUCGGGGGUACACGAGUGGCGAACGGGUGAGUAACACGUGGGUAAUCUGCCCUGCACUUCGGGAUAAGCCUGGGAAACCGNGUCUAAUACCGGAUAUGAACUCCUGCCGCAUGGUGGGGGUUGGAAAGUUUUUCGGUGCAGGAUGAGCCCGCGGCCUAUCAGCUUGUUGGUGGGGUAAUGGCCUACCAAGGCGACGACGGGUAGCCGGCCUGAGAGGGUGAUCGGCCACACUGGGACUGAGACACGGCCCAGACUCCUACGGGAGGCAGCAGUGGGGAAUAUUGCACAAUGGGCGAAAGCCUGAUGCAGCGACGCCGCGUGGGGGAUGACGGUCUUCGGAUUGUAAACCCCUUUCAGUAGGGACGAAGCGCAAGUGACGGUACCUGCAGAAGAAGCACCGGCUAACUACGUGCCAGCAGCCGCGGUAAUACGUAGGGUGCGAGCGUUGUCCGGAAUUACUGGGCGUAAAGAGCUCGUAGGCGGUUUGUCACGUCGUCUGUGAAAUCCCUCGGCUUAACCGGGGGCGUGCAGGCGAUACGGGCAGACUUGA
RNAcentral lists this ribosomal RNA (600 nucleotides) under Dietzia sp. Y32. Its description in RNAcentral is "bacterial SSU rRNA". It matches the Rfam family "Bacterial small subunit ribosomal RNA", at positions 29 to 645 of the family's 1533-position model. The record is from RNAcentral. Lineage: Bacteria; Bacillati; Actinomycetota; Actinomycetes; Mycobacteriales; Dietziaceae.